GUGUCAGCAGCCGCGGUAAUACAGAGGUGGCAAGCGUUGUUCGGAAUUACUGGGCGUAAAGGGCGCGUAGGCGGCCCCGUAAGUCCCGUGUGAAAGCCCCCGGCUCAACCGGGGAAUGGCACGGGAGACUGCAGGGCUUGAGUUCGGGAGAGGGAAGCGGAAUUCCGGGUGUAGCGGUGAAAUGCGCAGAUAUCCGGAGGAACACCGGUGGCGAAGGCGGCUUCCUGGACCGACACUGACGCUGAGGCGCGAAAGCUAGGGGAGCAAACGGGAUUAGAAACCCGCGUAGUCC
RNAcentral lists this ribosomal RNA (292 nucleotides) under uncultured bacterium. RNAcentral's name for it is "partial 16S ribosomal RNA". It matches the Rfam family "Bacterial small subunit ribosomal RNA", at positions 505 to 796 of the family's 1533-position model. The record is from RNAcentral.